This 75-nucleotide transfer RNA is filed under the name Candidatus Marsarchaeota G2 archaeon ECH_B_1. RNAcentral describes it as "tRNA-Thr". It matches the Rfam family "tRNA". From Rfam's summary of the family: Transfer RNA (tRNA) molecules are approximately 80 nucleotides in length. Their secondary structure includes four short double-helical elements and three loops (D, anti-codon, and T loops). Lineage: Archaea; Thermoproteati; Thermoproteota. The record is from RNAcentral. RNAcentral also lists the same sequence under 1 other name.
GCCCCGGUAGCUCAGCCUGGUCAGAGCGCCUCACUGGUAAUGAGGAGGUCCCGGGUUCAAAUCCCGGCCGGGGCU